Manis pentadactyla (Chinese pangolin) is the source of this 2168-nucleotide long non-coding RNA. RefSeq lists it as uncharacterized. The record is from RefSeq and is a predicted model, not a curated record. NCBI's taxonomy places the organism in Eukaryota, Metazoa, Chordata, Mammalia, Pholidota, Manidae. The transcript has 3 exons.
GGGCGUGGGGAGGCCUCUGUGGUUUUCAAAGGAUGGGGCGGGCUGACCGUGCGGAUGUCGGGCUCUGGAGUCGGGCACCCCAAGCUGUCUGCUGCCUGGCUGGGGGUUCGGGUGGGGGGCUCAUGUCUCCUAGGAGAGAGCAGAAAAGAACAGAAAGCCGUGUAGAUGUGCUGAAAAGAAGCUACCCUGCCUGUUCUUCUGCCCAAGAAACGAGGGUGUGAAGUACAGAGCAGUGAGACGCCGCGCACAGCCAUGUGGCCGACCUCCCGGCCAGGCCGGCUGGGUCAGACCUGGGGCAGGCUUCCCCACAGUCCUGGGGCUCUCCCGGCUGCCCCGACAGGAACGGGCCUGCGGCUUGGUGAUGAGGAUUCUCCAGAGGAACCCACGGCUGCCACACCCUCCCGUCACAUUCAAUGACCUCGUUUGCAAUGUGCUCCACGCCUGCCAGGUAAUUAUUGACAUCAGAGUGACUCUGCCGGCUCUUCCAGAGAUUCUGGAGACCCCAGGAGGUGAGUGAUGGUCUGGUUCCCGGUGACCUGCAAUCCGUGGGCGGUGGGAGAGCCCAGCUCCCUGCCACAUCCUGACUGCGCUGCCCUGAAGGGGAGAGAAUGGGGACGAGGUGUGCUUUCUACGUGAGGCCCAUCUCUGUGGCCAGCUGAGCCCGAGGCCCCCCUGUCUCCCUGUCCAGACCCCAGGCCCAGGGAGGAAAACCGGAAAGAGAACCCUCAGGUCGGGCUUCAUCGUUGGGCAAUCUCACCAAUGUAGUGUGUCAUCUGCCUACCGUGUGACAAACAUCCUACCUGACAUUUUAAAAACACUGUCAUUUUCUUUUAAAUGCCCAUGUAUUUGCCUACAUCACACUAUGCUUUGUGUUGGGGGAGCGGGUUACAAGCCUAUAAAUUUGCCCCUAAAAUAGUACCUGAGGUGAAAACUCCAAGGGAGGCUAUAUCCCUGAGGAUACGCUUGGGUGAAAUUGUGACAUUUCCGGAGUACCUCGCUUGGCUUUAGUACAUGUGCAUAUCAGCAGGAGCUCCAGGGUGCAGAGAAGUGUGGUUGUAGUGGAUUUGCGUAAGUCUCCAUAUCACUGGGUCGUUACCGGGCAGUGGAGGGCUUCGCUGUACCUGGGAGGGGAGGGGGAGGGCCGUUUUUGCUGCUGUUUGAGCCGGAGAGAGAUGGCCCGGGCUGCAGUUUUGUAAGCAAUAAACGGGUUUUUAACUGUAUUUCUCCCUUUGACUGAUUACAGUUUUUAGAGCUAUUUUGCCCUGGGAUUUCCUCUGCCCGGACUUACAAUAUGAGAUAAGUAAGUGCUCGAACCCUUGGGGCCACCCAGUUCCAGCGGGCACAUUGCAGGGCACAGAGCCGGUCAGGCCUGCUCUGGGUGGGGAAGGCCCAGCCGGGCACAGGUGCUUCUCUGCAGAGUCUGAGUGUGUGAUCCGGUAACUUCCUGCUCCUGGACGGCCUCUGGACCUCAGCACUCUAGCCCUUUCUUUGCUGUGAGCACCGCUCCGGGCAGCGCAGGGCGGCAGCUGCAUCUCUAGCCCCCUGCGCAAUAGGAGCACGUCCGCCCCCUCACCAGCAUCCAGACCUGACCACAUGACCCCCAGGGAGCAGAGGGCUGGCAUCAUCUUAUCAACAAGGCAUUAAAAUGCUGGUUGUUACAGUGCUGUUAGGCCAGCUGAGAUGUAAGGAUUCUUUGUGUCAAAGAUAAUUACAGCCUUUAGCUUCAAGGUCAUCCCUCCCAGAACCCUGCCCUGGCUUCCUGUCCCUUCCAGCGGAAGACUUGGCUCUGGAAUGGACUUCAGACCAAUCUCAUCUUGUUACACAUGUGGCCCACAGAGGUUAAUCAACCCCCCUGAGGUCACAGUGCCAGUGGAAGAAAAUCCCUGGAAAGAACGGGUCGGGACCCAGGUUCGGAGCCCUUUGCUGCAUUCUGAGACUCCGGAUCCAAGACACACACAUGGUUUGCGGUUCAAAAACAUACUUUACAGGAAAAGAAUUGGACACAAUGUGUACUCAUAAGCAGAGACGCCAGAGGGGAAAGAGAAUCCUGAGUAUUUACAUCAAGAGGACUUUUCUGCCCAUGUGACCGAGGAGGGUCACCGUCUUUCCAGGGCCCAGAACCCAACCCCACAGCCGGCGGGAGCACCGCUUGGAGGGCGCGGCGGGGG